UGGGUUCAAGCGAUUCUCCUGCCUCAGCUUCCCAAGGAGCUGGGACUACAGUAACAAUAGUCAAGGUGAACAGUAGAAAGAAUGGCAGCAGCACAUUUUGAGGAUGGACCUAGAAGCCAGUUGCCAGGAGCCCUAUUGCAGGCUCUGCUAGUACUAGGGAUGGAACUACAACUCCAACCGGCUGUAGCAAUGAAGAAAAUUUCCAGUUUCACAUCCUUCAAGGGUCCAGAGGUGGCUACAGAUUCAGGAGACAUGCACCAGGAGGAGCUGGCAAGUUUCCUUGGCAAGAACAGAUGAAUAAAUAAGAAGCAUGAGCUUGUGACUUUUAGCUGAGAUCUCCUCUCCGUGGUUCUCCACUGGGUGCUGUGCCUGGAGAUUGACUUUUGUGGACCACAUCAGUGAGAUUCAUUACUUUAUGGUCUCCCACUGGAUUCAGCCAACAAGAAGUGCUGUUUAAAAACUUGGAGAGUGGGGUGGGAGAGUCAUCUCGUGGUUUUCAUUUUCCAGGCUCCCUUCCUGCUGGCUCAUUACAUAUUAACUUCAUUCCUGUCCCAAAUGCUGUAGCUCCCAUCAGGAAGCCCUCUCCAGAUUCCACUAGCCUCACCAUUCCCUUGUCUCUUUAGGUCUAACAGGAUAAUGACUCCAGUCUGUUGCUAAUCCCAUGGGCUUCACUAUGCUUCAUUUGCUUUAUUCUUCCAUACAUUUGUAAGUAGUCCCUCAAUAAACUCUCUUCAAUUACUCCAUCUGUGUAAACCAGCUCUUUCAUGCUGACAUCCUGACCAACAUAUCACCUAUGUAAAAUAUGACACAUGCUACACAUGGGAUACAUUUACAUUCAAAUUAUGACAUAUUUAAGUAUAGCAUUUGUGAGGAAUAUAACAAAAACAAAUAGCCUUCUGAGAGGCUGGCUGGGUGAACACAGUAGCCAACAUUAACACAGCAAAAGAAUACAACUUAGGGGAACAAAAAUGUGACAUACAUUGGGGCAAAAGAAAUAAUGCAAAGGAAAAUCAUAUUAAAAGGCAAGGAAAAAAUUGCAAAAUCAGUGAGCAAUUUUGGGAAAAGUCCUCAGGGCCAAACAAUUAGAAUUCAAAUUGUGAACAACCAGGAAAUCCUAACAUCUAAAGGCUAGGAAAUUACAAAAAAGGAAAAAGUGGAAGAG
Non-coding RNA from Chlorocebus sabaeus (green monkey), 1162 nucleotides. NCBI's taxonomy places the organism in Eukaryota, Metazoa, Chordata, Mammalia, Primates, Cercopithecidae. The record is from RefSeq and is a predicted model, not a curated record.